Molecule: long non-coding RNA, 343 nt
Filed under: Helianthus annuus (common sunflower)
Lineage: Eukaryota; Viridiplantae; Streptophyta; Magnoliopsida; Asterales; Asteraceae
Description: hypothetical non coding rna
Source: RNAcentral
UUUCUUUCUUCAUCUCCACCACACCACCUGCAACAGUACCACCACAGUGUCGGCGGCCACUCCCUCAACAUACAGAGGUAUCCCACCGACAAGACACCACCACCGUAUCCCCACUCAUCUUCAUCUCUGUCCCGAUGUGUUACAGAUCUGGGAUUUUCAGUGGCGAGAUGGAUUUACAGAUCUGGGAUGUUCACGAAUCGAAGGGUGAAAGCCAUGGCGAAUGAGGGAGUGAAUUGUGUUUGGUGGGGAUUUUAACGAAGUGCAGAUGUUACAGAUCAUGUUCUUGUUCUUCAUGUAUUCUUUUGAAUUAUAUAACUACGGUCCAUUUGUUUGUUUCUUUUAG